RNAcentral lists this ribosomal RNA (253 nucleotides) under uncultured bacterium. RNAcentral's name for it is "partial 16S ribosomal RNA". It matches the Rfam family "Bacterial small subunit ribosomal RNA", at positions 524 to 776 of the family's 1533-position model. The record is from RNAcentral.
UACGGGGGGGGCAAGCGUUGUUCGGAAUUACUGGGCGUAAAGGGCGCGUAGGCGGCUUGGCAAGUGGAAGGUGAAAUCCCUCGGCUUAACCGAGGAACUGCCCUCCAAACUGCUUUGCUUGAGGCCGGGAGAGGUGAGUGGAAUUCCCAGUGUAGCGGUGAAAUGCGCAGAUAUCAGGAGGAACACCGAUGGCGAAGGCAGGUCUCUGGGCCACUACUGACGCUGAGAAGCGAAAGCAUGGGGAGCGAACAGG